This 253-nucleotide ribosomal RNA is filed under the name uncultured bacterium. RNAcentral describes it as "partial 16S ribosomal RNA". It matches the Rfam family "Bacterial small subunit ribosomal RNA", at positions 524 to 776 of the family's 1533-position model. The record is from RNAcentral.
UACAGAGGGUGCAAGCGUUAAUCGGAAUUACUGGGCGUAAAGCGUGCGUAGACGGUUAUGUAAGUCUGUUGUGAAAGCCCCGGGCUCAACCUGGGAAUGGCAAUGGAUACUGGCAGGCUAGAGUGCGGUAGAGGGUAGUGGAAUUCCUGGUGUAGCGGUGAAAUGCGCAGAUAUCAGGAGGAACACCGGUGGCGAAGGCGGGUCUCUGGGCCGAAACUGACGCUGAGGAGCGAAAGCGUGGGGAGCAAACAGG